ACAGGGUGACAGUGGCACUGCCUGGCACCUCAGCCCAGCCUCACCUGGCACCCAGGACCCCAAAAAAGCAGGAUCCCCACCAUCCCCAGCCCGGGAUUAUCCCAUCCUGGAGGAAAACACCCUCCAGACUGUGAUCUCAGCUCACCCUCAUUCAGCUGUCUUGUGGAUUUGUUCUGCCUCAGAUGGAGAGAUGUUAAUGUGAGGCAGCAGCAGCGGGGAGAGAUUAAGGGUCAGGAGGAGAUGCUGGCAGUCACAUGGGAAAGGCUGGUUUGCAAGGAGUGAGGAAAUGUAUGAUGUGAAGGUGCAGGGAACAGGAAACAGGAAAACUUCCCCUUGGAGCCCUCCCUCAGUCCUGGGGCUGGUCCCCAGCUCUUUCUACUCCUUGCUGAGUUUCAAAUGAAACACAGGACGUUGGAGCGAGGCUGCUGCUUGAAAAGCAUCUGAAAGCUGAAUUUCAGGCAAGCAGGAGGACGGAGGAGCUCAUUUUGGGAAAUAACGAGCAGUCAGUUAAUUAAGUGGCAGAGUUAGUGAUGUGAGAUGGGGCCUGAUGGGUUGCUGCUCCGUAACCAUGGCAACGGAGUUUGCUGCUCUCAAUCCUGGCCGGAGAAGAUGCAUUUCCGUGUCCCACGCCUGGCACCGGCUGC
Long non-coding RNA from Passer domesticus (house sparrow), 644 nucleotides. RefSeq lists it as uncharacterized. The record is from RefSeq and is a predicted model, not a curated record. Lineage: Eukaryota; Metazoa; Chordata; Aves; Passeriformes; Passeridae. The transcript has 3 exons.